AGUGAACGCUGGCGGUAGGCCUAACACAUGCAAGUCGAACGGCAGCACAGUAAGAGCUUGCUCUUACGGGUGGCGAGUGGCGGACGGGUGAGGAAUACAUCGGAAUCUACUUUUUCGUGGGGGAUAACGUAGGGAAACUUACGCUAAUACCGCAUACGACCUACGGGUGAAAGCAGGGGAUCUUCGGACCUUGCGCGAUCGAAUGAGCCGAUGUCGGAUUAGCUAGUUGGCGGGGUAAAGGCCCACCAAGGCGACGAUCCGUAGCUGGUCUGAGAAGGUGAUCAGCCAGCUUGGAACUAAGAGUCGGUCAAAACUACUAAGGGAGGAAGCAGUGGGGAAUAUUGGACAAUGGGCGCAAGCCUGAUCCAGCCAUACCGCGUGGGUGAAGAAAGCCUUCGAGUUGUAAAACCCUUUUGUUGGGGAAGAAAAGCAGCAGGUUAAUACCCCGCUGUUCUGACGUUACCAAAAGAAUAAGCACCGGCUAACUUCGUG
Molecule: ribosomal RNA, 492 nt
Filed under: uncultured bacterium
Lineage: Bacteria
Description: partial 16S ribosomal RNA
Rfam family: Bacterial small subunit ribosomal RNA
Source: RNAcentral